CCUAAUCCAAUCAUUUAGACUUCGUUUGGUUCGGGUAUAAGUAAGAACUGUCUUAUUCCAGGGAUAUGUGCAAGUUUAGGUAUAAGCGAGAACUAGAGAAAUUUUGUGUUUAGAUAAAAAUUUGGCUGUUUUCGGAAAUUAGAAAAAUAGUGUUUGGAUAGAUAAGAUAGAAUAAGAAGAAUAAUGGGUAGUUAUAAAUUAAAAAUAAUGAUAUUACCCUUCUCAUUAUAUUUGAAUUUUAAAUUUUUAAAAUUUUUAUUUAUAAUUUUAAAUUUAAAAUUUUAACUUUUAAAUUUUAAAAUUUGAAAUUAAAAUUUAAAUUUUAAAUUUUCAAAUUUUUAGUUUUAAAAAUUUAAAUUUUAAAUUUAAGACCAAAUUUAAAUUUGAAAGAUAUAAAAUAUCAAAUUUAAAAUUUUAAAUUAAAAAAUUUAAAAUAUCAAAAUUAAAAUUUAAACUUUAAAUUUUGGAAUUUUAAAUUAUAAAUUUUAAUUUUAAAAUUACAAAUUUUAAAUUUUAAAAUUUUAAAUUCUAAUUUAAAACAUAUUUCUCUUUCUUUCUCUCUCUUUUUACCAGGGGAACAAGGGGCCCAUACCGGGUUAUAUCGGUAUAACCCGGUAAGGUGGGAACAAUAAUUCCCACCCACCCCAACUCUUGUUUGGGUACAAGAGAGGGGAUAAGACCUUAUUCCUAGGGAUGCAAAUGUGGCGGAUCUGGGGGCGGGAGCCUCGACCCGCCUUCCGCCCCGAAUAGCAAAAACCCGCCCCGCCUCCUGCCCCGAAUUCUUGACGGGUUAAAAAAUACAUCCCAUAAUCCGCCCUGCCUCGUAACCCGCCUCCCGCCGGCGCCCCGAAUCCGCCCCGUCAACUAAUAUUUUUUAUAAAAUUAUAAUAUUAUUAAUAUUUUGUAAAAUAUAAAUUAAUAAUUUUUAAUAAUAUUAUAUAUAUAAUUUAAUAAUAUUAAUUAUAAAAAUAAAAAUAUCAAACACAAUUCAAAAUAAAAUUCAAAAGUUUCAAAUACAUUAGAAAUGAGAGUACUAAGUUAUUUGUAUUUUAAACUUUUUUGUAAAUACAUUAUUUUUUAGGAAUAUUUUUUAAAAAUAUAAAUACUUUUCGGGGCGGAUUCGGGGCGGAUCAUUGCGGGACGGAUUCGGGGCGGAUUCGGGGCAGGUCAAAAUUUCUCCCGUUUCCUGCUCCGAAUUGUAAAAUUUACCCCGUUGCAGAUCAUUGCGGGGUGGAGUUUAGUAAAAACUAUUUCUCUCAUGCUGUUUGUUUUAUAGCAAUGAAAGUAAAAUUUAUUCAGUUUUAUUAUUUGUUUAGCAGAAAGUGAAUAAUAUAAAAUAAUAAUUUAUAUAUAAAUAAUAAAUAACUUAAUAAAUAAUAAAUUAUAAUAAAUAAAAUUAUAUCCAAUAUAAUUAAAAAAAUUAAUCUAAAAUAAUUAAAUUAUUUUUUAUACAUAAAUUAUAAUAAUACAGCAAUAAAAUUAUAAGAUAUAUAUAUACACAGACACUUAACUAAUCUUUUUUCAUCAUAUUUUAGAUAUACAAACUAAAUGAAGAAAUAAUGAAAUUUAAAUAAUCAAAUUUUAUCAUAUUUUAAAUAUACAAACUAAAUAAAAGAAUAUUUAGAACUAUAAUUAAAUAUAUUUAAAUAUAACUAGAAUUUCUUAUUGUAUUAUUUUAUUUUUUUUCUUCACCUCUCUUUAUCAUAAUUGACUUCGGUCCGAGUUGGGCGGAAAUUAAUUAUACUAUUUUGGAUAACUCGAAUUUCGAUCGUAUUUUUGUUACGAUGAAACAAACAGUAAAAUAAUCAUUUACAAUCGAAAAUGAUUUCAACGCUCUUUACUUUCAUCCAAAUAAAUAGGCCCUAACGUAUCGUUUGGUUCGGGGAUAAGGAAAAAGUGGCUAUUCCAGGAAUAGGUAUAAAUUGAGAUAUAAGCGAGGAUUAGAUCAAUUUUGCGUUUGGAUGAAAAUUUGGUUAUUUCUGGAAUAAAAAAAAUAGCGUUUGGUUAGGUAAGAUGGAAUAAGAAAGAUAAUGGGUUUUGUAAAUAAAAAAUAAUGAUAUUAUCCACUUAUUAUAUUUGAAUUUAAAUUUUUAAAUUUUUAAAUUUAUAUUUCUAAAUUUAAAAUUUAACUUUGAAAUUUAAAAUCUCAAAUUUUAAAUUCAAAAUUUAAAUUUUAAAUUUCAAACUUUAAACUUAAGAUCAUAUUUAAAUUUAAAAAAAUAUAAAAUAUCAAAUUUUAAAUUUCAAAAAUUUAAAAUAUCAAAAUUUAAAUUUAA
Molecule: long non-coding RNA, 2276 nt
Filed under: Ananas comosus (pineapple)
Lineage: Eukaryota; Viridiplantae; Streptophyta; Magnoliopsida; Poales; Bromeliaceae
Description: long non-coding RNA (ACOM_LNC014675)
Source: RNAcentral